This 841-nucleotide long non-coding RNA is filed under the name Rattus norvegicus (Norway rat). Its description in RNAcentral is "long non-coding RNA NONRATT025102". Lineage: Eukaryota; Metazoa; Chordata; Mammalia; Rodentia; Muridae. The record is from RNAcentral.
GUUAGGACAAGACAAGGAGGGGUAUACAGGGCUCUUCAGAGAUAAGAGGUUCUUGCUUGGUGCUUGCCUGCCACGGAAGCAUUGAUGGCAGAAGCUACUGCUAGUGUCCUUAGAGCCCCUGAAGUCUGGCUAGAUCUGAGAAUCCCUGCUUUGGUUGCCUCUGUGUUUAUGUUAUGGUCCAUGUACAUAAGGUCCAUGUCCUGUGUACACAUGCGUGGUCCCUCACUCAAGCAUUUUAGAAUACAGUUCCUCUAAUCAGGAGGAAUUGGGAUGAAAUGAGACCUCUACUUUCUCUUUCUUCUUUUAUUGCCUUUUAGGGUUUUGUUGGUGCACUUCGAACUGAACUUUUUGACUAUCCAGGUAUAAGGUUGUCUACGAUUUGCCCAGGACAUGUACAUUCAAAUAUUUUCCAGAAUUUUAUAACUGGAGAGUUCACUAAGACCAGACUGCCUGAAAUCCCGCUAUUCAUGAUGGAAACAAGCCGUUGUGUGCAGCUAAUCCUUGUCUCCCUGGCCAAUGAUCUGGAGGAAGUCUGGAUAGCUAAUCAGCCUGUCUUGCUUCGGGCAUAUGUGUGGCAGUAUGUGCCAUUCCGGGACUGGAUACUUCAAGGAUGCUAUGGAAAAUAUAUAUCGAAAGCUCUAGGUAUAACAUGGUAUGUGUGACUCACUUGUUUCCAGUAGUUUAUGUGCAUCUUGCAUGCAAAUAUCAAGUCUUCAAAUGCUUUAGGGUCGUUUUUGCUAACUUCCAGACCCAGCUCACAAUAUGAAAAUACAUAAAAAUGGACUGACCCUGGACUCUGACCUCAUAGGUAGCAAUGAAUAUUCUAGUAAGAUCACCAGUG